GAUGAAGAACGUAGCGAAAUGCGAUACUUGGUGUGAAUUGCAGAAUCCCGCGAACCAUCGAGUCUUUGAACGCAAGUUGCGCCCGAAGCCAUUAGGCCGAGGGCACGCCUGCCUGGGCGUCACACGUCGUUGCCCCCCCCAUCUACUCCUUCGGGAUUGCGGGGGGCGGAUGAUGGCCUCCCGUGCGCCUCGCCGCGCGGUUGGCAUAAAUGCCAAGUCCUCGGCGACGCACGCCACGACAAUCGGUGGUUGCGAAACCUCGGUUGCCCGUCGUGUGCGGUCGUCGCGCAUCGAGGGCUCGAAAAAAUUGCCGAGUUCCGGCUCGGCUUUCAACGCGACCCCAGGUCAGGCGGGGUUACCCGCUGAAUUUAAGCAUAUCAAUAAGCGGAGGA
Molecule: unclassified non-coding RNA, 392 nt
Filed under: soil metagenome
Description: partial contains 5.8S ribosomal RNA, internal transcribed spacer 2, and large subunit ribosomal RNA
Rfam family: 5.8S ribosomal RNA (bases 1-122)
Source: RNAcentral